AUUGAACGCUGGCGGCAGGCUUAACACAUGCAAGUCGAGCGGGUGAAGGUAGCUUGCUACCGGACCUAGCGGCGGACGGGUGAGUAAUGCUUAGGAAUCUGCCUAUUAGUGGGGGACAACAUCUCGAAAGAGAUGCUAAUACCGCAUACGUACUACGGGAGAAAGCAGGGGAUCUUCGGACCUGGAGCUAAUAGAUGAGCCUCAGAAAGAUUAGCUAGUUGGUGGGGUAAAGGCCUACCAAGGCGCCGAUCUGUAGCGGGUCUGAGAGGAUGAUCCGCCACACUGGGACUGAGACACGGCCCAGCCUCCUACGGGAGGCAGCAGUGGGGAAUAUUGGACAAUGGGGGGAACCCUGAUCCAGCCAUGCCGCGUGUGUGAAGAAGGCCUUAUGGUUGUAAAGCACUUUAAGCGAGGAGGAGGCUACUUUAGUUAAUACCUAGAGAUAGUGGACGUUACUCGCAGAAUAAGCACCGGCUAACUCUGUGCCAGCCGCCGCGGUAA
RNAcentral lists this ribosomal RNA (501 nucleotides) under uncultured bacterium. RNAcentral's name for it is "partial 16S ribosomal RNA". It matches the Rfam family "Bacterial small subunit ribosomal RNA", at positions 30 to 523 of the family's 1533-position model. The record is from RNAcentral.